This 215-nucleotide small RNA is filed under the name Arabidopsis thaliana (thale cress). Its description in RNAcentral is "ATSL183780". The record is from RNAcentral. Lineage: Eukaryota; Viridiplantae; Streptophyta; Magnoliopsida; Brassicales; Brassicaceae.
UAAUAGACAAAGGAAGAUCAAACUGAAAAUCCAUUAAUCCAACAACAGCAAUAUCUGGAAACUAAGACAAAUUCUGGGAACAAACUGAAGCAAAUGAAACACAAAAUGCAGAGGGGAAAAGCGAAAGACUUGUGGAGUAGAUUUGGUCUACUUAGAUCGCUGUCUCAUCUUUCGUCUCUUCCUCUUCAAUCUCCUCAUACGCUUCUUCUUCCACU